GUGGUAGAGCUCAGUGGUAAAGUGCUUGUCUAGCAAGUGUGAAGCAUUGGGUUCAAUUCUCAGCACCACA
This 70-nucleotide transfer RNA is filed under the name Marmota monax (woodchuck). RNAcentral's name for it is "tRNA.Ala". The record is from RNAcentral. Lineage: Eukaryota; Metazoa; Chordata; Mammalia; Rodentia; Sciuridae.